AGAGUUUGAUCCUGGCUCAGGAUGAACGCUGGCGGCGUGCCUAAUACAUGCAAGUCGAACGAGUUCUGAUUAUUGAAAGGUGCUUGCAUCUUGAUUUAAUUUUGAACGAGUGGCGGACGGGUGAGUAACACGUGGGUAACCUGCCCUUAAGUGGGGGAUAACAUUUGGAAACAGAUGCUAAUACCGCAUAAAUCCAAGAACCGCAUGGUUCUUGGCUGAAAGAUGGCGUAAGCUAUCGCUUUUGGAUGGACCCGCGGCGUAUUAGCUAGUUGGUGAGGUAACGGCUCACCAAGGCAAUGAUACGUAGCCGAACUGAGAGGUUGAUCGGCCACAUUGGGACUGAGACACGGCCCAAACUCCUACGGGAGGCAGCAGUAGGGAAUCUUCCACAAUGGACGCAAGUCUGAUGGAGCAACGCCGCGUGAGUGAAGAAGGCUUUCGGGUCGUAAAACUCUGUUGUUGGAGAAGAAUGGUCGGCAGAGUAACUGUUGUCGGCGUGACGGUAUCCAACCAGAAAGCCACGGCUAACUACGUGCCAGCAGCCGC
This 546-nucleotide ribosomal RNA is filed under the name Lacticaseibacillus casei. RNAcentral describes it as "bacterial SSU rRNA". It matches the Rfam family "Bacterial small subunit ribosomal RNA", at positions 8 to 518 of the family's 1533-position model. The record is from RNAcentral. Lineage: Bacteria; Bacillati; Bacillota; Bacilli; Lactobacillales; Lactobacillaceae.